Molecule: transfer RNA, 93 nt
Filed under: Cellulomonas oligotrophica
Lineage: Bacteria; Bacillati; Actinomycetota; Actinomycetes; Micrococcales; Cellulomonadaceae
Description: tRNA-Ser
Source: RNAcentral
CCGCGGCCGAGCCGCGGGCCGGCGGCGCGGGCGUUGACGGCCAGGCGCUGCGUGAUGCCGAAGCGCUCGGCGGUCGCGGCGUCGGCCUCGACC